AUGCCUUCAGAGUUCAGAGAGAUAUUACAGCACGGUUUAAUCAAGGGAGUGAGUGCAUCUCAAGCUAUCAACGCAAAGCCACGGUUUUAUCUUUGGAACGGUAUCAGAGGGCGUCCUGUCCACGUCUCCAUCUUCUCCAAGUACUUGACGGGGACGACGCCGUCGAAACCCUCCGUCAGUACCACCUUGUUGUCGGAGAUGUAUAGCUUCAUCCCAUCUGAGAAACGAAUUCGGCAAUCAGAUACUAGCAUCUCUAGUCUAGCGAGAUAG
Molecule: ribosomal RNA, 270 nt
Filed under: Triticum aestivum (bread wheat)
Lineage: Eukaryota; Viridiplantae; Streptophyta; Magnoliopsida; Poales; Poaceae
Description: partial small subunit ribosomal RNA
Source: RNAcentral